Molecule: long non-coding RNA, 1678 nt
Filed under: Gallus gallus (chicken)
Lineage: Eukaryota; Metazoa; Chordata; Aves; Galliformes; Phasianidae
Source: RNAcentral
UCAGAGAUGCUGAGAGCUGCUGAGCUACUUACAGCCUGGCUGGAGUCAAUGAGAGCUGCAGGCACUCAGCCCUUCCCUGGAUUCUGCUCUCAUUUGCAGAGGGACUUUUCUGCCAGCUGUACACCUGGGAAGCAGCAUGAGAAGAGUUGCCCAUAACCAGCACAGUAACUCGGACCUUUAGUCCUUGCAGGAUGUCAGUAGGGAAAGGAAAAAGGAAAUUAUUCACUCUUUGGCUGGAAGGACUGUGCAGAAAUCAGGAGGGUCUCAAAAACUUAAGAACAGUGAAGUGGUAAAGAUUUAAAGAAAAAUGGAGAAAAACCUCAAGGCUUUAAGUCUGGAGCCUUUCUAUAAUUUGGAGGCAGUAGCAGAAGCAAGCAGACCUUUAAAGCCAAGAUGUACGUCUCCCUUAAUUCCUCUGUGGAUUUGUUUUAUAGACUAAGCAGAGAGGGCUCUGCUCUCUCACUGCACCGCAUUACAUACACAUGGUAUUGUGUGGGUUUGCUCCUAACAUGUCAUGUCAUUUAAAAAACAGCUUGGAAGAAUUCAUUUAAUGCAGAAAUUCCGUGAAAAUACAAAGAUCAAUGUAGAAAAUACGUGCACUAUCGGAAAAUGCCUGCGGAUCAAGCUGGAAAACUAAGGAACAAAUUGAUGGCAAUAACGAUGAUUGAUGAUAUAGCAGAUAAGAGAAAACAAAACCCCCAAAGAAGCAGCACAGAGCAUCUGUUAACAGAGUGGUUCGAACAAACUCCUGAAAUGGCUGCAUGAAAAGACAAGUGUUCUUCCAAAAAAGGGCACAACAUUCACAGGAUGGAAUCCUGGGCCCAGUGAACUCAAUGACAAAGCUGCUGCUCAUUUGGCUGUCUUGUUAGGCUUAGAGCAAAAACACAAACACUUACUAUUAGAUGGCGGUAUGUGAGCUUUUAGACUGAUUUCAGUGGGUCUGUUUCUUCCUUAAAGUUAAGCAUGUCCUUAAUAGCCUUGCAGGAUCUGAACCUAAAUCAGUGGGCAUAAUUGUCUGUAUCUACUGCUUACAGCAAAGCUUUGAAAUCCCCUGAGGUUUGCAUCCAAAACCUUGCUCUGAAUUUUUCAGAUUGGCAAACCCGAUCUGUAAUGUACAAACCUGGCACUGCUAACAGUGGGUAUUUGCAGGCAAGUGAUGCAAGGGGGUUAUUUUUGUGCUGUGUUACACCAGGUAAUGGUAUUCUGUCACCAAAGUCAGAAUGAGCACUAUGCUGACUUCCAGUUUGUAUCCCAGACAAUUUCACUAAAGCCAGAGGUAUUGUAUUGUGCUUAUUUAUUGCUUAAUUAUCCCUGUAGGUGUUCAAGGUACUUUGUAACAGCUAAAACAGUCCCUGCCCUGAAGAGCAUGCAGUCAAAUCUAAGAUUAGAGGCGACAGCGCUGCAAGGGGCUGGACCUGGAGGAAGAACAAGGUCUUUGUUGUGCUAGAUACUUCAGCAUAUGUCUGUCCCAAAGUUCAGCUAAUUGGUUAACAACUUUUCUGAGUCAAGGCCGGUGAUUGAUGUACACAUGCACUCUGAUGCAAGUGCACGUUCUUGUUGUUGCUACUGCUUUUAAGGCACCAGCUGUCCUGUGUAGAUAUUCUCACAGGCACUUGUUAGACCGUUGGGAAAUAUGAUUUCACUUCUGUGGAAUGACACCAGUUUGUACUGGUUAAUG